This 403-nucleotide ribosomal RNA is filed under the name Bacteroidota bacterium. Its description in RNAcentral is "Bacteroidetes bacterium partial 16S ribosomal RNA". It matches the Rfam family "Bacterial small subunit ribosomal RNA", at positions 355 to 776 of the family's 1533-position model. Lineage: Bacteria; Pseudomonadati; Bacteroidota. The record is from RNAcentral.
UGGGGAAUAUUGCACAAUGGGGGAAACCCUGAUGCAGCGACGCCGCGUGAACGAAGAAGGUAUUCGUAUCGUAAAGUUCUGUCUUAUGGGAAGAGAAUGACAUUACAAUAGAAGAAAGCUCCGGCUAAAUACGUGCCAGCAGCCGCGGUAAUACGUAGGUCCCGAGCGUUGUCCGGAUUUAUUGGGCGUAAAGCGAGCGCAGGCGGUUAGAUAAGUCUGAAGUUAAAGGCAGUGGCUCAACCAUUGUAGGCUUUGGAAACUGUUUAACUUGAGUGCAGAAGAGGAGAGUGGAUUUCCAUGUGUAGCGGUGAAAUGCGUAGAUAUAUGGAGGAACACCAGUGGCGAGGGCGACUCUCUGGUCUGUAACUGACGCUGAGGCUCGAAAGCGUGGGUAGCAAACAGG